ACUUCUUUGCUGUUUCACAUAUAAUAUUUUCGGGUUUAUCUGGAGGGACUUUCAAAGGCAGUGUGUGGGGGAAAAAAUAGAAAAAUAAUCAAAAGAAAUUUGUCAUGGCUAUUUUCAUGUGACUGCUGAGAAAUGCAAAGUAAUACUAUCUUUCACCUGUGGUUUUUUUACACACUACUGUUCCCACAUACACACACAGUAGCCUAUAAAUGGAAACAUGUGGCUCAUUGACAAAUAGUGCGCUAUGACUUUCUCCUAGUGAGAAUAAUAUGAGCUAAUUGGGAAACAUGUAAAUCCUUUAAGGGUUCUAUAGCGUCUUCAAAAUCUAAGAUGUAAAUGUCAUUCAAACUUUAAAUUUACCACCAAACUUUUGAGAAAUCAAGUUUUAUGCUUUUUCUGGCUUUUUGAUACUUUUGAACACAUAUUAAUGUUAUCGCUGUGCUAUGUCAGGUGUCCAUCCAUAUAUAGGCGGUACCAGUACGAGUUUGAACUUGAAUUGUUUGAACAUUACUGCUUCUGUUCUCUCUUUCAGAACAAACGGGUUUGAACAGCUGUGACUGGUGUUGGCCAGGUGUGAGUCACCAGUUAGUCUCAUACACAGGCGUGGAUCUCCUCAGACUGAUGUGUGACUACAGAAAACUAGCAGAAAUGAAGUACACCCUGAUCACCAAGCAGAAUCACCGUAGCAACCACCCCAAAUGCCCUGACAACCACCUAAACACAACCUAAAAAAACAGAUUAGCAACCACCCAGAACACCCUAGCAACAUUUAAAUCACCAUGAUGACUAUUAAGUACUUUACAAAGACUAAUUAUGUGUAAAUUUGUAUUGUCUGAUUGUAUGUAAUUUUGUAUUUGCAUGUAAACUCUCCUCAAAUAUUCUCUUUUCUUUUUAAAUAGAGAGAACCAACUCUACAUACGCCCACUACGUAGGUCCAGUCCAUUGACGAUCUGAUGAUUCUGCUUGCACAGCACAGCAGAUAGCGGCAUCUUGACACUGGACAGUACACUGUCAGGUUUGAACCCAUGAGGAUGGGUGGGGCUGGCUUGACUGUCAGGUAGCCAUGGGCGAUGAAGUGAUGGCAGCCAGCCAGGAGCAGAGGGCACCCUGUCCAGAAAAAAUUACUUAAUGGGAAUUUCCUAACUCGGAACUCACCUCAGCCAUCGGUGUACAGGAGAUGUUCUGGCUAACACGAGGAGGAG
Molecule: long non-coding RNA, 1202 nt
Organism: Thunnus maccoyii (southern bluefin tuna)
Lineage: Eukaryota; Metazoa; Chordata; Actinopteri; Scombriformes; Scombridae
Exons: 3
Source: RefSeq, a predicted model, not a curated record